Molecule: transfer RNA, 76 nt
Filed under: Citrobacter koseri
Lineage: Bacteria; Pseudomonadati; Pseudomonadota; Gammaproteobacteria; Enterobacterales; Enterobacteriaceae
Also listed under: 6 other names
Description: tRNA-Val
Rfam family: tRNA
About the family: Transfer RNA (tRNA) molecules are approximately 80 nucleotides in length. Their secondary structure includes four short double-helical elements and three loops (D, anti-codon, and T loops).
Source: RNAcentral
GGGUGAUUAGCUCAGCUGGGAGAGCACCUCCCUUACAAGGAGGGGGUCAGCGGUUCGAUCCCGUCAUCACCCACCA